UACGUAGGUGGCAAGCGUUGUCCGGAUUUAUUGGGUUUAAAGGGUGCGUAGGUGGGCAGGUAAGUCAGUGGUGAAAUCUCCGGGCUUAACCCGGAAACUGCCGUUGAUACUAUUUGUCUUGAAUAUUGUGGAGGUAAGCGGAAUAUGUCAUGUAGCGGUGAAAUGCUUAGAUAUGACAUAGAACACCAAUUGCGAAGGCAGCUUACUACACAACGAUUGACGCUGAGGCACGAAAGCGUGGGGAGUCAAACAGGA
RNAcentral lists this ribosomal RNA (255 nucleotides) under uncultured bacterium. RNAcentral describes it as "partial 16S ribosomal RNA". It matches the Rfam family "Bacterial small subunit ribosomal RNA", at positions 524 to 777 of the family's 1533-position model. The record is from RNAcentral.